AGAGUUUGAUUCUGGCUCAGGAUGAACGCUAGCGGCAGGCUUAACACAUGCAAGUCGAGGGGCAACGCGAGUAGCAAUACUUGGCGGCGACCGGCGCAAGGGUGCGUAACGCGUGAGCAACAUGCCCGUAUCAGGGGGAUAAUCCAGGGAAACUUGGUCUAAUACCCCAUAGUAAUUUUGUAAGGCAUCUUAUAAGAUUUAAAGCUUUGGUGGAUACGGAUUGGCUCGCGUGACAUUAGCUGGAUGGUAAGGUAACGGCUUACCAUGGCUAUGAUGUCUAGGGGUUCUGAGAGGAAGGUCCCCCACACUGGAACUGAGACACGGUCCAGACUCCUACGGGAGGCAGCAGUGAGGAAUAUUGGACAAUGGAUGGAAAUCUGAUCCAGCCAUGCCGCGUGAAGGAAGAAGGUCCUAUGGAUUGUAAACUUCUUUUGUAUGGGAGCAAUAAGGCCUACGAGUAGGCUGAUGAGAGUACCAUACGAAUAAGCACCGGCUAACUCCGUGCCAGCCGCCGC
Molecule: ribosomal RNA, 515 nt
Filed under: uncultured bacterium
Lineage: Bacteria
Description: bacterial SSU rRNA
Rfam family: Bacterial small subunit ribosomal RNA
Source: RNAcentral